This 75-nucleotide transfer RNA is filed under the name Candidatus Shapirobacteria bacterium CG10_big_fil_rev_8_21_14_0_10_40_9. RNAcentral describes it as "tRNA-Val". It matches the Rfam family "tRNA". Rfam says of the family: Transfer RNA (tRNA) molecules are approximately 80 nucleotides in length. Lineage: Bacteria; Candidatus Shapironibacteriota. The record is from RNAcentral.
GGAUGGCUAGCUCAGAGGAAGAGCGCUUCGUUGACAUCGAAGAGGUCAUAGGUUCGAGUCCUAUGCCAUCCACCA